AACUUUCAACAACGGAUCUCUUGGUUCUGGCAUCGAUGAAGAACGCAGCGAAAUGCGAUAAGUAAUGUGAAUUGCAGAAUUGAGUGAAUCAUCGAAUCUUUGAACGCACAUUGCGCCCAUUAGUAUUCUAGUGGGCAUGCCUGGUUCGAGCGUCAUUUC
RNAcentral lists this ribosomal RNA (159 nucleotides) under Xylaria sp. CBS 117123. RNAcentral's name for it is "Xylocoremium sp. CBS 117123 5.8S ribosomal RNA". It matches the Rfam family "5.8S ribosomal RNA". From Rfam's summary of the family: 5.8S ribosomal RNA (5.8S rRNA) is a component of the large subunit of the eukaryotic ribosome. It is transcribed by RNA polymerase I as part of the 45S precursor that also contains 18S and 28S rRNA. Functionally, it is thought that 5.8S rRNA may be involved in ribosome translocation. Lineage: Eukaryota; Fungi; Ascomycota; Sordariomycetes; Xylariales; Xylariaceae. The record is from RNAcentral.